CCCUUAGAUGUUCUGGGCUGCACACGUGCUACACUGGCAGGUUCAGCGAGCUUCAUGCCCUGAUCUGAAAGGAAUGGGAAAUCUUUUCAAAACCUGCCGUGCUUGGGAUAGAUGUUUGCAAUUAUUCAUCUUCAACGAGGAUUGCCUUGUAAGCGCACGUCAUCAGCGUGCAUUGAAUACGACCCUGUAUUCUGUACACACCGCCCGUCGCUCCUACCGAUUGAAGUUUUCGGUGAGUUGACAGGAGGAUUUUUUUGAAACUAGUUCGCCAGUGGAUUUUAGAUCCAAAUGCCAACGAAUCGAUGGCUUUAGAGGAAGGAGAAGUCGUAACA
This 332-nucleotide ribosomal RNA is filed under the name uncultured eukaryote. RNAcentral describes it as "partial 18S ribosomal RNA". It matches the Rfam family "Eukaryotic small subunit ribosomal RNA", at positions 1470 to 1796 of the family's 1831-position model. The record is from RNAcentral.